This 183-nucleotide non-coding RNA is filed under the name Ligilactobacillus apodemi. Its description in RNAcentral is "Lactobacillus apodemi Lysine sequence". It matches the Rfam family "Lysine riboswitch aptamer". Rfam says of the family: Riboswitches are metabolite binding domains within certain messenger RNAs that serve as precision sensors for their corresponding targets. Allosteric rearrangement of mRNA structure is mediated by ligand binding, and this results in modulation of gene expression. This family includes riboswitches that sense lysine in a number of genes involved in lysine metabolism, including lysC. RNAcentral also lists the same sequence under 1 other name. Lineage: Bacteria; Bacillati; Bacillota; Bacilli; Lactobacillales; Lactobacillaceae. The record is from RNAcentral.
UAAAUCGAAGAGGCGCAACCGACAUGAGUAAGAGGCUCAAGCUACUAUAAGAGCGUUUGAGAGUCUUGUGAAAGGGGAAGUUGCCGAAGUGAGUGAUAGGUAUAGCUAUUACUUGGCUGGGUUGUAGUUUAAGAGACUGCAGACUGUCGCAAAUAAAGUGAUUUGCGGAGUGCUAUCGAUCUA